Molecule: non-coding RNA, 366 nt
Organism: Pelobates cultripes (western spadefoot toad)
Lineage: Eukaryota; Metazoa; Chordata; Amphibia; Anura; Pelobatidae
Source: the annotation of a GenBank genome assembly
GGCUAGCUCACGAGUGGCCCGAGGGGUGUAUGCCUCCGAGUGUGAGGCGGGGUGUUGGCCUCGCGGGACCACUAACCGAAGCAUAAUGCAGAGAAAAAAGGGGGUAAUACCUAUUGGGCCCUAGAACCCUAAUUGCCGGUACACUAUUACUAUUCCAGGGAAGGUAAGAGAUGGAUAACUACGUGAGCAGGUGUACGUACCUGGUAGUAUGGUAUUGAACCUGACAAUCCGUAUAGGUUUUUUAGUAAUAACUGUAACCUGAAUGGAUAAAAUCGUAUGGCAUAAGGAAAUAUGGCAUAGACCAAGCUUAUCUUAAAACAUACAGUAUAUGUGAACGUAAAGUGCUGUGAUAUGUAAAUAUUAAAC